This 548-nucleotide ribosomal RNA is filed under the name uncultured Glomeromycotina. Its description in RNAcentral is "SSU rRNA". It matches the Rfam family "Eukaryotic small subunit ribosomal RNA", at positions 548 to 1098 of the family's 1831-position model. Lineage: Eukaryota; Fungi; Glomeromycota. The record is from RNAcentral.
UUGGAGGGCAAGUCUGGUGCCUGCAGCCGCGGUAAUUUCAGCUCCAAUAGCGUAUAUUAAAGUUGUUGCAGUUAAAAAGCUCGUAGUUGAAUUUCGGGAUCAGCAGGUUGGUCGUGCCACUGGUAUGCACUGGCUUUGCUGGUUCCUCCUUUCUGAAGAACUGUAAUGCCAUUAAUUUGGUGUUGCAGGGAAACAGGACUGUUACUUUGAAAAAUUAGAGUGUUUAAAGCAGGCUAACGCUUGAAUACAUUAGCAUGGAAUAAUGAAAUAGGACGUUCGAUCCUAUUUUGUUGGUUUCUAGGAUUGACGUAAUGAUUAAUAGGGAUAGUUGGGGGCAUUAGUAUUCAAUUGUCAGAGGUGAAAUUCUUGGAUUUAUUGAAGACUAACUACUGCGAAAGCAUUUGCCAAGGAUGUUUUCAUUAAUCAAGAACGAAAGUUAGGGGAUCGAAGACGAUCAGAUACCGUCGUAGUCUUAACCAUAAACUAUGCCGACUAGGGAUCGGAUGAUGUUAAUUUUUUAAUGACUCAUUCGGCGCCUUACGGGAAAC